AUUUUUUGUAGCAACAGGGAAACUCAGAUUCUAAAGAGACAUGAUGAUCAUGUCCAGAAAAUUUGACAGUGUGUACCUGUGGUGGUGAGAGUGCUUGGCGCACUACCAGACACAUGGGCCCCAUCAUCAUUUCCUCCACCACAUUCUCCUUUCAACCUACUCUCCCUCUCCUUUUCUCCUCCCCUAAGCUUGCUCUUUCUCUCCCUUCAAUACCCAAAUAAUUCUCUGUGCAAACGUUUUCUUUAAACCUUUCUUGAAUCUUAAAAAUUCUAACUGCCUCUUUCUUGUUUGACGAUGGAAGGUGGUCUUGGUUUACUUGGUAUAAGUGGUGGUGCUGGUGGUGGCUCUUCUGGGGCCUCAACAAACGAGUCUACUGUGUCAAAGGUGGAGGUUGUAGAUGCUGAGGCUAGUUCAUAUCCAAUAGAGGCUGAGCUAGAGCUGGGUCUGGGUCUGAGUAUUGGCGGUGGCAGUGGAGGGAAAGGCAAGGCAAGCGCAUGGGGCGAGUGUGGGAGAAUCCUGACUGCCAAAGAUUUUCCUUCUCUGGUCUCUCAGCCUCAUAGAGGUCAUAAUAAUAAUACUAAUGCUACAGCUUCUGCUUGUGUUGCUGUUUCUGGGACUAAAAGAGCUGCUGAGCCUGUUUCCCAUGAAGGUGGAUCCCCUACUUCUGUCAGUAAAUUGCUUUGUGGGAGCAGUCAGGUUGUGGGGUGGCCUCCUAUAAGGGCUUAUAGGAUUAAUAGCUUGGUGAACCAAGCCAAGGCUUCAAGAUCUGAAGAAGAUAAGUCUUUUGGUGAAAAAGAUAAAUCUAAUGAUGCUUCCAAGAAAAUUUGCAAUGGUAACAAGACCAAUGCUACUGGUAAUGAGAAAGGGCAUCUUGGAUUUGUUAAGGUGAAUAUGGAUGGGGUUCCAAUUGGAAGGAAGGUGGAUUUGAAUGCUCAUACUUCCUAUGAGACACUUGCACAAACACUUGAAGAAAUGUUUUUCAGGUCCACGCCACCCGUCAGUUCGAUGGGUGGAGAGAAGCAACAAUCAGCAAAUCUCUCUAAUCUCUUGGAUGGCUUAUCUGAGUUUGUGCUAACUUACGAAGAUAAAGAGGGAGAUUGGAUGCUCGUCGGUGAUGUUCCAUGGGGGAUGUUCCUAAGCUCCGUUAAAAGGCUCCGAAUCAUGAGAACUUCAGAAGCUAAUGGGCUUGGUCCAAGAUUCCAAGACAGGAAUGGAAUACAAAUAAGCAAGCCUGUUUAGGAUCACUUCUGCCCCAUCAUUUUCAACUCCAGAAAGAUGAAACUCAUAGUUUGAAAAGAAAGACAGUAGAGAAAGUUGAUGAAUUAGAACGUUCCACUGAGAUUGCAUUUUCACUGCUUUUUUUUUUUUUAACCAUUAUCUGGUUUUCUUUACCUAUGUGGGCGAUAAUUCACUUAGUUUCUCUCUUAUACAGUGCUUUUGCACACUUGACUGCUGCUUUCUCAUACUGUAAAUAUGGGAGUACUUGAUAUUUAGAGUGGAGUUUGCUGCAAUCUAGUGGACUAUCAGUUUUAGUGUUUGGUGUGAUACUGAUGUCUGAAAAUUUCUCGUUGUGUCCGUUUUCUUUUAUAUAUUUUUAAGUGUGCAGCUUCCAGCUCGGCACAAUUGAAUUGAUUGUACCUGAACAAUCGUUUUCUAGUUAUUAAUCUAACCUUCAAUUUCAGCAUUAA
Molecule: unclassified non-coding RNA, 1688 nt
Filed under: Hevea brasiliensis (rubber tree)
Lineage: Eukaryota; Viridiplantae; Streptophyta; Magnoliopsida; Malpighiales; Euphorbiaceae
Source: RNAcentral